Molecule: ribosomal RNA, 437 nt
Filed under: uncultured bacterium
Lineage: Bacteria
Description: partial 16S ribosomal RNA
Rfam family: Bacterial small subunit ribosomal RNA
Source: RNAcentral
CUACGGGGGUCCAGUGAGGAAUAUUGCACAAUGGGGGGAACCCUGAUGCAGCAACGCCGCGUGGAGGAUGACGCAUUUCGGUGUGUAAACUCCUUUUAUAUGUCAAGAAAAUGACGGUAGCAUAUGAAUAAGCACCGGCUAACUCCGUGCCAGCAGCCGCGGUAAUACGGAGGGUGCAAGCGUUACUCGGAAUCACUGGGCGUAAAGGACGCGUAGGCGGGUUGGAAAGUCAGGUGUGAAAUCCUACAGCUUAACUGUAGAAAUGCACUUGAAACUGCUAAUCUAGAGUAUGGGAGGGGGAGAUGGAAUUAGUGGUGUAGGGGUAAAAUCCGUAGAUAUCACUAGGAAUACCUAAAGCGAAGGCGAUCUCCUGGAACAUUACUGACGCUAAGGCGUGAAAGCGUGGGGAGCAAACAGGAUUAGAUACCCCGGUAGUC